GUGGAAGGCCGGAGUGCGGGCCGUGAGGGGUGUGCGCGCUUGAGCCGGAGCGGGGCUCGCCCCUCGUCGGCUCCCGCCGCCCAGCCGGUGAUCGCUCUCCGGCCGUCCCCGGCACCCUCGGCCCCCCACGGCGGUUGGUCCGGGCGGGGGAAGGAGAAAGUGAGACUCGGUGUCAUCACCAAUCCGUCGCCAGAAGGGGAGGAAACUGGAAUCCAGCAGCGGCGAGCAGCAGCUGGGCGGAUUUAUUUAAUGGGGAUGUGUUCAAGGCAAGACCGAAUUCAGAAGGAUAUCGACGUCGUGAUCCAGAAGUCCAGAGCUGAGGACUGCCUGUUUGCAGCCUACUUGUGAAGACAAGGAUGAAGACCUCCAUGAUGAGCCAUCUCCACUUAAUGACUGUCUCACAUUGGCCGGCAACUUGUUCCAGAUGAAAUCUUGCUCUGUCACCCAGGCUGGAGUGCAAUGGCUCGAUCUCGGCUCACUGCAACCUCCACCUUCUGGGUUCAAGCAAUUCUCCUGCCUCAGCCUCCUGAGUAGCUGGGAUUACAGAUGGAGUCUCACUGUGUCCCCAGGCUGGAGUGCAGUGGCGCGAUCUCAACUCACUGCAAGCUCUGCCUCCCGGGUUCACGCCAUUCUCCUGCCUCAGGCUCCCGAGUAGCUGGGACUACAGGCGCCCGCCACCACUCCCGGCUAAUUUUUUUUGUAUUUUCAGUAGAGACGGGAUAUCACCAUGUUAGCCAGGAUGGUCUCGAUCUCCUGACCUCGUGAUCCGCCCUCCUCAGUCUCCCAAAGUAUUAGGAUUACAGGCGUGAGCCACCGCCCCCGGCCCUCAAAGAUUGUUAUGAGUCCUCACAGAUGUCAGAGGACGAUGCUGUGACCUAUAUUUGCAAACGCCCGGAAGACUUAAAGCUAUUGUUUUGCAAAUGCACAGAUAACAAUAAUAACAUGAUGCUGUGGAUGAGCAUGAAAGUUUUUCUCUUACUCCUAAUUAUAAUGUUUUCCCUCUUACUGCUUUGCCCUGCUGAUGGAAUUCAGUAAAGGAAUCUCUACCAGCAGACACUUGGUUUUUACCCUUCCUAGGACCUUUAAUAGAUAUCUUUUUAUUACUAAUCUUUGCUCUUUGCUUGUUUAACCUCCUUGUAAAGUUUGUGUCUUCCAGAUUACAAUAAUUCCAUGUAAAGAUGAUGCUGGCACAAGGCUUUCAACCCAUCCCCUCUUCUGACCCAGAAGAUAAAGACAUCCUACCUUUGAGCCUUUUAGAACAGGUAUCCAGGGAUUUUACCUCUCCAGUGCUAGGCAGGGUCUAUGCCCAUAACAUCAGCAGGAAGCAGUUACAGAAGAUGAACCUCCGCCCUUCUGCAAGCCCCUUAAGAUUAAGGAGGAGUAUAUAAUCUCUGAUGGGGAAAUGAGGUAGGAGACCAGAAGGACUUAUUUUCCAUUCCCAACCCCAUUGAACAGAGCAGGAUCUGGUCAAAACAGGGUGCAGUGGAGAAGCCUGCUGAAACCAGCAGAUGAUGAUGAAAGUGACCUCUAGUUGCCCUCACUGCUUAUGAGCAUAAAGACACUACCACUGGGACCAUGGCCAGUUUACAAAUGUCAUGGCAACACACCUUGGCAAUGGCCUGGAAGUUACUUUAUAUGGUUCUGGAAACUCCCUGCCCCUUUCCCAGAAAGUUCUGAAUAACCUACCUCUUAAUUGGCAUGCAAUUAAAAGUGGCUCUAAAUACAACUAGCUAGUAGCCCACAGGCACAAACUCUGGGCACACUGCCUAUAGGUUAGCCCUGCUCUGCAAGAAGUAGCACCAGUUCAAUAAAAGUUGCUUUCUCUCACCAGCGGCUUAUCCUUGAAUUCUUUUCUUGGCAAAGCCAAGGAGACUACAGUCUGGGAGAAAUUUCCCACGCUACAAACCAG
This 1909-nucleotide long non-coding RNA is filed under the name Homo sapiens (human). Its description in RNAcentral is "PREDICTED lncRNA (TCONS_00019604)". Lineage: Eukaryota; Metazoa; Chordata; Mammalia; Primates; Hominidae. The record is from RNAcentral.